Molecule: ribosomal RNA, 435 nt
Filed under: uncultured Chryseobacterium sp.
Lineage: Bacteria; Pseudomonadati; Bacteroidota; Flavobacteriia; Flavobacteriales; Weeksellaceae
Description: bacterial SSU rRNA
Rfam family: Bacterial small subunit ribosomal RNA
Source: RNAcentral
GGAAUAUUGGACAAUGGGUGAAAGCCUGAUCCAGCCAUCCCGCGUGAAGGAUGACGGUCCUAUGGAUUGUAAACUUCUUUUGUAUAGGGAUAAACCUAGAUACGUGUAUCUAGCUGAAGGUACUAUACGAAUAAGCACCGGCUAACUCCGUGCCAGCAGCCGCGGUAAUACGGAGGGUGCAAGCGUUAUCCGGAUUUAUUGGGUUUAAAGGGUCCGUAGGCGGACCGAUAAGUCAGUGGUGAAAUCUCAUAGCUCAACUAUGAAACUGCCAUUGAUACUGUCGGUCUUGAGUAAAUUUGAAGUGGCUGGAAUAAGUAGUGUAGCGGUGAAAUGCAUAGAUAUUACUUAGAACACCAAUUACGAAGGCAGGUCACUAAGAUUUAACUGACGCUGAGGGACGAAAGCGUGGGUAGCGAACAGGAUUAGAUACCCCUG